GUUCUAGCGCGCCUCCGUGACGUCACUCGCUUUGGAGGCGGGCUCAGCAAGCGGCGCUCCACCGCCAUUGGUCGGGAGCCCUGCAGUAACCAGGGGAACUGCAAACAGUGUAGGGGCAGCUUCCGGUUCGAGCACCCGUAACCGCCGUAACCGCCGUAACCGCCGCCUUUAAGGAUGGACGGUCAGAGCCUGCGAAAGGCUGAGAGAGGCCGGUCCUGCUCCCAGGAGAAAAAGAAGCUGUCUGCUAUGGCCUGGGAAAGCGGCAGAAGAUGGCCCAAGUGCUUGGGCCCCUGCACCCACAUGGGAGACUGGAAAGAAGCUCCUAGCUCCUGGCUUCGGAAUUGCGCAGCUCCAGCCAUUGCGGCCAUCUGGGGAGUGAACCAGCGGGAGAAAGACCUUUCUCUCUGUCUCUUCCUCUCACUAUCUGUAACUCUACCUCUCAAAUAAAUAAAUAAAAUCUUAAAAAAAAAGGAGAAGAGAAGCAAGAAAAGAGAAAGAGAGAAAGACUGCCAGAUCAAAUUCAGCCCGAGGAUUUGUUUCUAACCUGUAUCCUAUCCUGUCCUCCUCAGCCCUGCGCUGGCCCCAGAGCCUUCCCAAGGCAGGAACGGUGUUUCUGUCUGUUUGCUAUCAGCUCCUAGCUAGACACCUAGUGUCUAAUAGGUAUUUAUUAAGAAUGCACUGAACAGACUGAUAAGCAUCUCAACCCUGAACCUCCUGUGUGGCACACAAAAGCAUCUCAUCAGUGACUGCCCGAGCCCAGGACAGAGUGACCCCUGUGUGUUCGGUGGCUGCUUGCUUGGUGCCUGGCCUGGUGCAGCAUCUCUCAAGGUGUGGA
Molecule: long non-coding RNA, 835 nt
Organism: Lepus europaeus (European hare)
Lineage: Eukaryota; Metazoa; Chordata; Mammalia; Lagomorpha; Leporidae
Exons: 3
Source: RefSeq, a predicted model, not a curated record